AACUCAGUGAAGGUCACAGUGAGAACCAGCCCAAAAUAGUACCAUACAGGUGAGGCUGGAGCCAGAGGCUGUACAAGGAACACAACCUGGGUGUUAGCAGCUCCUGAGAGAAUUAUGGGUGUUAUUAAGUCUCACCAGCUCUCUGUUCCCUCUUUUUUCUUCCCAGACUUCCUGUCAUUUUUAAAUCCAAGAAACCCUCACUAUCUGACUGUAAGGAGAAAUGCUGUCCACAGUGAGGCAGAAUCUGCCACAGGGACCUGAAUCAGACUGCCAGAGCAUCUUGGGACCUGACAGGCUUGGGACACACUUCUGCCCCUUUCAGACAGGAUCAUGGAGGCUGGGUGAUUCUGGGAGUUCUUGUCUCCUGUUUCUUGAUGCCUGCAAAGGUGCCGCUGAUGACAAGCCACACCUUAGAUUCACGUUCAUAUCCUGCACUGCACAAUCUCCCACUGCAAUGUACAGCAGCAUGGCCUUUUGAGCUCAUGGCCAAGAAGAGCAGUCCUGACAUCUCACUUGGAGGUCAAAGAAAAUUAAUGUCUUCAGAAGAAAAUAUUGAGAAGAUACCGACUGCUAUAUUUUUUGAAAGCUACUGAUUGCAUUUAAACGAAUGAAUUGUUUCCUGCUUGGCUUGUUACGGCCUGGCUAUAAAGAGGCC
Long non-coding RNA from Chinchilla lanigera (long-tailed chinchilla), 655 nucleotides. RefSeq lists it as uncharacterized. Lineage: Eukaryota; Metazoa; Chordata; Mammalia; Rodentia; Chinchillidae. The record is from RefSeq and is a predicted model, not a curated record. The transcript is spliced from 3 exons.